This 565-nucleotide ribosomal RNA is filed under the name Hanseniaspora opuntiae. RNAcentral's name for it is "partial large subunit ribosomal RNA". It matches the Rfam family "Eukaryotic large subunit ribosomal RNA", at positions 73 to 657 of the family's 3401-position model. Lineage: Eukaryota; Fungi; Ascomycota; Saccharomycetes; Saccharomycodales; Saccharomycodaceae. The record is from RNAcentral.
AUACUUAGUACGGCGAGUGAGCGGUAAAAGCUCAAAUUUGAAAUCUGGUACUUUCAGUGCCCGAGUUGUAAUUUGUAGAAUUUGUCUUUGAUUAGGUCCUUGUCUAUGUUCCUUGGAACAGGACGUCAUAGAGGGUGAGAAUCCCGUUUGGCGAGGAUACCUUUUCUCUGUAAGACUUUUUCGAAGAGUCGAGUUGUUUGGGAAUGCAGCUCAAAGUGGGUGGUAAAUUCCAUCUAAAGCUAAAUAUUGGCGAGAGACCGAUAGCGAACAAGUACAGUGAUGGAAAGAUGAAAAGAACUUUGAAAAGAGAGUGAAAAAGUACGUGAAAUUGUUGAAAGGGAAGGGCAUUUGAUCAGACAUGGUGUUUUUUGCAUGCACUCGCCUCUCGUGGGCUUGGGCCUCUCAAAAAUUUCACUGGGCCAACAUCAAUUCUGGCAGUAGGAUAAAUCAUUAAGAAUGUAGCUACCUCGGUAGUGUUAUAGCUUAUUGGAAUACUGCUAGCUGGGAUUGAGGACUGCGCUUCGGCAAGGAUGUUGGCAUAAUGGUUAAAUGCCGCCCGUCUUGA